AAUAGAUACCCGGGUAGUCCAUGCCGUAAACGUUGGGCACUAGGUGUGGGGCUCAUUCCACGAGUUCCGUGCCGCAGCAAACGCAUUAAGUGCCCCGCCUGGGGAGUACGGCCGCAAGGCUAAAACUCAAAGGAAUUAACGGGGGCCCGCACAAGCGGCGGAGCAUGCGGAUUAAUUCGAUGCAACGCGAAGAACCUUACCAAGGCUUGACAUGCACGGGAAGCCACCAGAGAUGGUGGUCUCUUUGGACACUCGUGCACAGGUGGUGCAUGGUUGUCGUCAGCUCGUGUCGUGAGAUGUUGGGUUAAGUCCCGCAACGAGCGCAACCCUCGUCCCAUGUUGCCAGCGGGUUAUGCCGGGGACUCAUGGGAGACUGCCGGGGUCAACUCGGAGGAAGGUGGGGAUGACGUCAAAUCAUCAUGCCCCUUAUGUCUUGGGCUUCACGCAUGCUACAAUGGCCGGUACAAAGGGCUGCGAUACCGUAAGUGGAGCGAAAUCCCAAAAAGCCGGUCUCAGUUCGGAUUGGGGUCUG
Molecule: ribosomal RNA, 532 nt
Filed under: uncultured bacterium
Lineage: Bacteria
Description: bacterial SSU rRNA
Rfam family: Bacterial small subunit ribosomal RNA
Source: RNAcentral